Saccostrea echinata is the source of this 617-nucleotide long non-coding RNA. RefSeq lists it as uncharacterized. The transcript is spliced from 2 exons. Lineage: Eukaryota; Metazoa; Mollusca; Bivalvia; Ostreida; Ostreidae. The record is from RefSeq and is a predicted model, not a curated record.
GUUAGUGAUAUAAAGGAAACUCUAUGCAUUACGAGAACGUGCCUAAUUGUAAACAAUCUCUGUUUACAUCUGUGUUUGCUGCUAUAAUUACGUCAGAUCUAACUCUUUUUAAUAUAACCUCUCCUGUGACACUGCGUCAGUCACCCAUAUAAAUAAGGACAAGCAUCAGCACAAUACCAUAACAAAGACACGAUGGCAGAGAGAACAUCGAUACUCUUUUGGCUGGUGGUGUACCUCAUAUCUUCAUUUAUUUUGGUAAUAGUGGAAUUAUUCCAUAAACUACACGCCGCAAUCUUUCGCCAGCGUGAAGAAGAGAAGGAGCUUGAUACUGUAUCAGAGUACAUGGAACUAUAUGCCUCCUGAGAAUGACCUCUGUAUGUCCUUGACAUGUCCUUCAGAUUUCGGGUCUAACAGUGUUGGUCCCUUAAUGGCAAUGUCUAUUGCUGAACUCAUUCAUGAGGGCUGUAAAUCUACUAUACUUCAAGAACAUUUUGCGGUCAAUCUGUGAGAUAACAUCAGCGAAGAAAAAGUGUUUGCUUGUUAAAAAAACAUACAUGUAAAUGUAUCUUAGGGUUGUGAACGUUAACAUUGAUGAAUAAAAUGCUGUUUAAACUCUC